CGCUGUGCGAGAGCGGCCCUCGCCCCGGCCCCGCUGCCCGCGCACGCAUGCACGGCAGCAGCCGGCGCUUCCCCGCCCCGCAAGUCACUUGGGCUCUGCGGGCACCCCCUGCCCCGCGCAAGCAGCGGGGCCGCGUUGGCUCUGUGGUGAUCCCCCACCACCGCCCUGUGCGUACAAAGGGAACUCCGGUAGCAUCCUCUGGUAUUAGCCCCUAACUGUGCCGACCACAGAGGGUGUGAGCAGGACAUCCAAGACUGCUUGCUCCGGUGCAAUCUCAUGACAAUUCAUCCAGAGAGCAUUAAACCCAUGAAGAGACAGAAGUUGCCCCAGGAGGUAUUUCCUCAGCCCUUGGAAAAUGCCAGCUAUAAAAGAAAGCUGGAUUUACCGAGAAGUCAGUCAACUGGCAGCCAGUGCAGGACUCGGCACACAGGUCUCCCAGACAACAACUCUUCCUAGCGAGCAGAUAUGUCCUGCAGGAGCAGCUGUUUCAGGAUGGAUGAUGGCACCACAUCCAGGAAAACUGCUUUAGAGGUUUCCAGAUUCAUUUUCCAGCCAGCACCCACAGCAGUGGGAUAAGGAGGGUGCAGCUCUAAGGAGAAUACACAUUUCAAAAGUUCCUGGGAAUUUGUUUAUUGUCUUAAACUUCUCUGGCUUUCAGCAGCUCCUCAAGAAUGUGUUAGAAUCUGCUCAGUGUGAACCAACUGCCUCAGUGGAGGUUUUCAAUUCACUGUAUUGGCACAAUGGAUACCUUAUCACAUCAUUCUUUCACACACAUUGACAAUCUCUUCUGUGUAAUAUGCUUUCAUUUUUCAGCAGCACAAAUCUAGUGUUAAAAUAAUUGUCUAUAAUAAAUAUUAUUUUAAAUAUCUUUAUUAAAGACACUC
Molecule: long non-coding RNA, 884 nt
Organism: Onychostruthus taczanowskii (white-rumped snowfinch)
Lineage: Eukaryota; Metazoa; Chordata; Aves; Passeriformes; Passeridae
Exons: 3
Source: RefSeq, a predicted model, not a curated record